Molecule: transfer RNA, 74 nt
Filed under: Phycisphaerales bacterium
Lineage: Bacteria; Pseudomonadati; Planctomycetota; Phycisphaerae; Phycisphaerales
Also listed under: 1 other name
Description: tRNA-Val
Rfam family: tRNA
About the family: Transfer RNA (tRNA) molecules are approximately 80 nucleotides in length. Their secondary structure includes four short double-helical elements and three loops (D, anti-codon, and T loops).
Source: RNAcentral
GGGCGAUUAGCUCAGUUGGCUAGAGCGCCUGCUCGACACGCAGGAGGUCGCAGGUUCGAAUCCUGCAUCGCCCA